This is a non-coding RNA of Elaeis guineensis (African oil palm), 797 nucleotides long. Lineage: Eukaryota; Viridiplantae; Streptophyta; Magnoliopsida; Arecales; Arecaceae. The record is from RefSeq and is a predicted model, not a curated record.
AUGGUUUUCUGGCUUCAGAGUUUUCUCAUACGUGAGAUCACCCAUAGCUUGCCUUGAGGAUCCGGCUUAGUAUCCUAGAGAUACGAUGGAGUUUAAUCAAGUGGAUUCGUGCAUCUCUUCAUCCAAACUCAGAUUCUAGAGGCAGGGAAAAGAAACAAAGGACUAUCACAGGGGCAGUCCUCAUCAGUAGAGUCAAACAAUGGUUCUUCUGGGGUUGCUGUAGGAUCAGGUCUUCCUCCAAUGGAUGGUAAGGUCGAUGGUGACAAAGGCUCAAGCAGAAAGCUCGGUCCAUUUCAAAAUUACAAUAGCAAGUAGCAGAAAUCAUGCGUGAGAUGUUUUGAAACUUUGACGGUAAGUGAUUUAUGUGCUAAAUUCUUUAUGUUUCUGGUCUUUUGCUUAGCUCAUUAAUGAGGAAUGAAGCCUGAAAUGAAGGAUGCCUUUCUUAUUUGCCCCACCAAGAUCCUUGGGUAGUGGCAUGGGAGGACAUGCGCCCUUUCCACGUCUACGUCAGGGUCCCACAGGUGAGAUAUCUUGUGGGGACUUAGAAUGGAGAAACUCACCAUCUGCUUGAUCCCUUGGAUCUACUGCAAGGGUCCAAAAUCUGACGGUGAUCCAGCUCUAAAUGUCGAGUUCAUUGCUAGGAAUUGCAGCAUUUCAAGGAGGAAAGUGUUGUAUGCUCGCAUCAAUGUUUCGCAAGGUCAAUCAAGGUUCAUGUAGAUCAAAUAUAAUCUUCAAACGGUGUCCAAUCCUGAAAUGUAAAUGACGAGUGUAAUACAAAAUCCAAAAAUGUAAAUGAU